UUCUUUAUUCUUGCUUGUCAG
Molecule: non-coding RNA, 21 nt
Filed under: Caenorhabditis elegans
Lineage: Eukaryota; Metazoa; Nematoda; Chromadorea; Rhabditida; Rhabditidae
Source: RNAcentral